Molecule: ribosomal RNA, 279 nt
Filed under: uncultured bacterium
Lineage: Bacteria
Description: partial 16S ribosomal RNA
Rfam family: Bacterial small subunit ribosomal RNA
Source: RNAcentral
UGCCAGCAGCCGCGGUAAUACGGAGGGUGCAAGCGUUAUCCGGAAUCAUUGGGUUUAAAGGGUCCGUAGGCGGGCUUGUAAGUCAGCGGUGAAAGUCUGCAGCUUAACUGUAGAAUUGCCAUUGAUACUGCAAGUCUUGAAUUAUUGUGAAGUGGUUAGAAUAUGUAGUGUAGCGGUGAAAUGCUUAGAGAUUACAUAGAAUACCGAUUGCGAAGGCAGAUCACUAACAAUAUAUUGACGCUGAUGGACGAAAGCGUAGGUAGCGAACAGGAUUAGAUA